CCUGAUCUUAAUGAGUUCUUGUUUCCUUUUGAAAUGGGGUCUGUUUGAGUGAGACUGACAUGAACAGCUUUGUAUGCAUAAAAAACAUGGCAUUCAAGCUCUGUCCAGGGGGCGCAGUGGACUAAUUCCAUGGAUAGAGAACAGAAGUUUAGAGAACAGAAGAUUAUAGGUAUAACAUGUUUUCAGAACCUCCAACCUAAAAAGAAAUGUUCCCAGAACAGAGAGUUUGAGCAACGUUAAUUCGAACAGGCAGAAGGAGAGAGAACAUGCAAGAAAUUGAAACAGGCACCUUAGCCAGGGGAGGGAGAAAAAAGACCAGAGGCCACGACAUCACAGAGGAGAACAAUCUAUAACCCAGCCAACGUGGAACCUGUACCCAUGGAAACUCAAGUUCUGACUGUCAUGGUGAUGGUGUCUCCUGUCCGUAG
This is a long non-coding RNA of Oncorhynchus tshawytscha (Chinook salmon), 428 nucleotides long. The record is from Ensembl. Lineage: Eukaryota; Metazoa; Chordata; Actinopteri; Salmoniformes; Salmonidae.